Long non-coding RNA from Chiroxiphia lanceolata (lance-tailed manakin), 244 nucleotides. RefSeq lists it as uncharacterized. The record is from RefSeq and is a predicted model, not a curated record. The transcript is spliced from 3 exons. NCBI's taxonomy places the organism in Eukaryota, Metazoa, Chordata, Aves, Passeriformes, Pipridae.
UAGCUCGUAUCGCCCCCUCUCCCCUCCCCGCCUUUGGCGCGCGGGCCCUCCGCGCUCGCUCUGCGCACGCGCCACUCUGUGGUCAAGCGGCUUUCCCGGGGGCCGCGGAGGACGCCGCGGGACCGGCCGGACCUGGAGGUCACUGGCAAGCGUGGGACAAGAACUGAACGAUGACUUGCUGCGGGCCCAGGCGCAGAGAGAAGCAGCAAAUCCUCCUGGGAGAGUUUCUGUGAGGGAAAACCGU